Molecule: transfer RNA, 61 nt
Filed under: Empoasca sp. EMHAU_031203
Lineage: Eukaryota; Metazoa; Arthropoda; Insecta; Hemiptera; Cicadellidae
Description: tRNA-Ala
Rfam family: tRNA
About the family: Transfer RNA (tRNA) molecules are approximately 80 nucleotides in length. Their secondary structure includes four short double-helical elements and three loops (D, anti-codon, and T loops).
Source: RNAcentral
AGGAUUAUAGUUAAUUAUAAUAUUUGAUUUGCAUUCAAAAGGUGCUGAGUAGCUAUUCUUA